Molecule: microRNA precursor, 48 nt
Filed under: Lotus japonicus
Lineage: Eukaryota; Viridiplantae; Streptophyta; Magnoliopsida; Fabales; Fabaceae
Description: miR11098 stem-loop (lja-MIR11098)
Source: miRBase by way of RNAcentral
GCAUAAGUUCCAGGGAGGGGCCGAACUCACUUUGUGGAUCUAAUGUAG